AGUGAACGCUGGCGGUAGGCCUAACACAUGCAAGUCGAACGGCAGCACAGUAAGAGCUUGCUCUUACGGGUGGCGAGUGGCGGACGGGUGAGGAAUACAUCGGAAUCUACUUUUUCGUGGGGGAUAACGUAGGGAAACUUACGCUAAUACCGCAUACGACCUACGGGUGAAAGCAGGGGAUCUUCGGACCUUGCGCGAUUGAAUGAGCCGAUGUCGGAUUAGCUAGUUGGCGGGGUAAAGGCCCACCAAGGCGACGAUCCGUAGCUGGUCUGAGAGGAUGAUCAGCGACACUGGAACUGAGACACGGUCCAGGGUCCUACGGGAGGCAGCAGUGGGGAAUAUUGGACAAUGGGGGCAAGCCUGAUACAGCCAUACCGCGUGGGUGAAGAAGGCCUUCGGGUUGUAAAGCCCUUUUGUUGGGAAAGAAAAGCAGCAGGUUAAUACCCCGCUGUUCUGACGGUACCCAAAGAAUAAGCACCGGCUAACUUCGUG
RNAcentral lists this ribosomal RNA (492 nucleotides) under uncultured bacterium. RNAcentral describes it as "partial 16S ribosomal RNA". It matches the Rfam family "Bacterial small subunit ribosomal RNA", at positions 29 to 507 of the family's 1533-position model. The record is from RNAcentral.